This 221-nucleotide long non-coding RNA is filed under the name Medicago truncatula (barrel medic). Its description in RNAcentral is "long non-coding RNA (MTRU_LNC000862)". Lineage: Eukaryota; Viridiplantae; Streptophyta; Magnoliopsida; Fabales; Fabaceae. The record is from RNAcentral.
CCUAGACACUUGGCAUGCUCAUGGCUGAACAGGGAAGCUUUGCACAGCUUGAUGUGCAGAGGCACCAGAGGAGUUGCGACGUUGCGGACAUCAAGUCUAGGAGCUUCCUCACACACUUCGAUCAUAUUCACAGCGGCAUGAUUUGGUAGCGGAUUGUCGAGGACAUGUGGAACAUUAUUCUCAAAAGUCAGCUUCCCUUGAUCGAUGAGCUUCUUCACGAU